Molecule: ribosomal RNA, 739 nt
Filed under: uncultured bacterium
Lineage: Bacteria
Description: bacterial SSU rRNA
Rfam family: Bacterial small subunit ribosomal RNA
Source: RNAcentral
GCUUAACACAUGCAAGUCGAGGGGCAGCAUGUCGGUUGCUUGCAACCGAUGAUGGCGACCGGCGCACGGGUGAGUAACGCGUAUCCAACCUACCCUUGUCCAUCGGAUAACCCGUCGAAAGGCGGCCUAACACGAUAUGCGGUUCUCAGCAGGCAUCUAACGAGAACGAAAUGUGAAGGAGAAGGAUGGGGAUGCGUCUGAUUAGCUUGUUGGCGGGGUAACGGCCCACCAAGGCGACGAUCAGUAGGGGUUCUGAGAGGAAGGUCCCCCACAUUGGAACUGAGACACGGUCCAAACUCCUACGGGAGGCAGCAGUGAGGAAUAUUGGUCAAUGGGCGAGAGCCUGAACCAGCCAAGUAGCGUGAAGGAUGACUGCCCUAUGGGUUGUAAACUUCUUUUAUAAAGGAAUAAAGUCGGGUAUGGAUACCCGUUUGCAUGUACUUUAUGAAUAAGGAUCGGCUAACUCCGUGCCAGCAGCCGCGGUAAUACGGAGGAUCCGAGCGUUAUCCGGAUUUAUUGGGUUUAAAGGGAGCGUAGAUGGAUGUUUAAGUCAGUUGUGAAAGUUUGCGGCUCAACCGUAAAAUUGCAGUUGAUACUGGAUAUCUUGAGUGCAGUUGAGGCAGGCGGAAUUCGUGGUGUAGCGGUGAAAUGCUUAGAUAUCACGAAGAACUCCGAUUGCGAAGGCAGCCUGCUAAGCUGCAACUGACAUUGAGGCUCGAAAGUGUGGGUAUCAAACAGG